Molecule: ribosomal RNA, 251 nt
Filed under: uncultured bacterium
Lineage: Bacteria
Description: partial 16S ribosomal RNA
Rfam family: Bacterial small subunit ribosomal RNA
Source: RNAcentral
UACGUAGGCAGCGAGCGUUGUUCGGAAUUACUGGGCGUAAAGAGUGUGUAGGCGGUGCUCUAAGUUCGGUGUGAAAUCUCCUGCUUAACUGGGAGGGUGCGCCGGAAACUGGGGUGCUCGAGCGUGGGAGAGGAAAGCGGGAAUUCCUGGUGUAGCGGUGAAUGCGUAGAUAUCAGGAGGAACACCUGUGGUGUAGACACUUUCUGGACCAUUGCUGACGCUGAGACACGAAAGCGUGGGUAGCAAACAGG